UACGUAGGGUCCGAGCGUUGUCCGGAAUUACUGGGCGUAAAGAGCUCGUAGGCGGUUUGUUGCGUCGGCUGUGAAAUCCCGAGGCUCAACCUCGGGUCUGCAGUCGAUACGAGCAAACUAGAGUGUUGCAGGGGAGACUGGAAAUUCCUGGUGUAGCGGUGAAAUGCGCAGAUAUCAGGAAGAACACCCGUGGCUAAGGCGGUUCUCUAGUACGGUACUGACGCUGAGACGCGAAAGCGUGGGGAGCGAACAGG
This 254-nucleotide ribosomal RNA is filed under the name uncultured bacterium. RNAcentral's name for it is "partial 16S ribosomal RNA". It matches the Rfam family "Bacterial small subunit ribosomal RNA", at positions 524 to 776 of the family's 1533-position model. The record is from RNAcentral.